CCUACGGGAGGCAGCAGUGAGGAAUAUUGGUCAAUGGACGAGAGUCUGAACCAGCCAAGUAGCGUGAAGGAUGACUGCCCUAUGGGUUGUAAACUGCUUUUGUACGAGGGUAAACGCAGAUACGCGUACCUGUCUGAAAGUAUCGUACGAAAAAGCAUCGGCUAACUCCGUGCCAGCAGCCGCGGUAAUACGGAGGAUGCGAGCGUUAUCCGGAUUUAUUGGGUUUAAAGGGUGCGUAGGCGGACGGUUAAGUCAGCGGUCAAAUGUUGGUGCUCAACACCGGCCUGCCGUUGAAACUGGUCGUCUUGAGUGCGCGAGGAGUAUGCGGGAUGCGUGGUGUAGCGGUGAAAUGCAUCGAUAUCACGCAGAACUCCGAUUGCGAAGGCAGCAGACCGGCGCUCAACUGACGCUGAGGCACGACAGCGUGGGGAUCGAACAGGAUUAGAUACCCGAGUAGUC
Molecule: ribosomal RNA, 459 nt
Filed under: uncultured bacterium
Lineage: Bacteria
Description: partial 16S ribosomal RNA
Rfam family: Bacterial small subunit ribosomal RNA
Source: RNAcentral